This 598-nucleotide ribosomal RNA is filed under the name Didymium squamulosum. RNAcentral's name for it is "SSU rRNA". It matches the Rfam family "Eukaryotic small subunit ribosomal RNA", at positions 962 to 1549 of the family's 1831-position model. Lineage: Eukaryota; Evosea; Eumycetozoa; Physariida; Didymiaceae. The record is from RNAcentral.
GGGCACGCCCGUUGAUCAAGAGCGAAAGUUAAGGGUUCGAAGACGAUCAGAUACCGUCGUAGUCUUAACUAUAAAUGAUACUGACCAGGGAUAGGACUCUGUCCAUCUCGACUCCUCCUGGACCUUUGAGAAAUUAUAGUCUUUGAGUUCUGGGGGGAGUAUGGUCGCAAGGCUGAAACUUAAAGGAAUUGACGGAAGGGCACACAAAGAGUGGAACCUGCGGCUUAAUUUGACUCAACACGGGAAAACUCACCAGGUCCAGAUACACGUAUGAAAGACAAGCUGAAAGACUUUUCUCAAUGAUGUAAGUGGUGGUGCAUGGUCGUUCUUAGUUCGUGGAUUGAUUUGUCUGGUCUAUUCCGAUAACGAGCGAGACCCCGGCGUUCCUAAUAGGGGUAGCAGCCAGGCUCGCCGCGCAAGCGGCUUGCUAGCACGCUACCUAAGAUGCUUCUUAGACGUAUCAGAGCCGAUAAGGUUCUUGAAAUGGGUUAAUAACAGGUCAGUCAUGCCCUUAGAUGUUCUGGGCCGCACGCGCGUUACAAUGGUAAACAUUAGAAAGUGCUCUAGCGGCGUUUCCGCAGCCGACGGGUUGUGGUAA